ACAUGCAGUCGAGGGGUAUAGGAGAGCCUGCUUUUCUAGAGACCGGCGCACGGGUGCGUAACGCGUAUGCAACCUACCCUUUUCUGGGGGAUAGCCCGAAGAAAUUCGGAUUAAUACCGCAUAAGACCACGCUAUGGCAUCAUAGAGGGGUCAAACAUUUAUGGGAGAAGGAUGGGCAUGCGUGCCAUUAGCUAGUUGGUAGGGUAACGGCCUACCAAGGCGACGAUGGCUAGGGGAUCUGAGAGGAUGGCCCCCCACACUGGUACUGAGACACGGACCAGACUCCUACGGGAGGCAGCAGUAAGGAAUAUUGGUCAAUGGAGGCAACUCUGAACCAGCCAUGCCGCGUGCAGGAAGACGGCCCUCUGGGUUGUAAACUGCUUUUACUCGGGAAUAAACCUAUCUACGUGUAGAUAGCCGAAUGUACCGAAGGAAUAAGGAUCGGCUAACUCCGUGCCAGCAGCCGCGGUAAUACGGAGGAUCCAAGCGUUAUCCGGAUUUAUUGGGUUUAAAGGGUGCGUAGGCGGCCUGUUAAGUCAGGGGUGAAAGACGGUAGCUCAACUAUCGCAGUGCCCUUGAUACUGAUGGGCUUGAAUGGACUAGAGGUAGGCGGAAUGAGACAAGUAGCGGUGAAAUGCAUAGAUAUGUCUCAGAACACCGAUUGCGAAGGCAGCUUACUAUGGUCUUAUUGACGCUGAGG
This 700-nucleotide ribosomal RNA is filed under the name uncultured bacterium. RNAcentral describes it as "bacterial SSU rRNA". It matches the Rfam family "Bacterial small subunit ribosomal RNA", at positions 53 to 751 of the family's 1533-position model. The record is from RNAcentral.